CUCUUGUCCCCCAGAUCACCGCCGCUGCUUUUCUCACCAUCUUCACUAGCAGAUGUGCUCUUAUCACAGUCUAUUCCCGAAGACCGGCUAUCGUCGUCCUGCUCCUCUUUAAGGUCCUUCAUUGUGAUUUCACCGUUCGUGUUUUCAGGUAAAGAGCAGAAUUCAUGGUUCCAUCAAUUACAGCAAGUCGUCUAGGUCCUAACGUAGCAAAACAGGCCAAGAUCAUGACACUGCCACCACCAUGUUUGACUGUUGGGAUCGUCAAGAUGUUUAUUGGGAAAUGUGAGAUGGAUCUUGUGUUUUCACCUAUGAAAUCUCCUUAACUGAGGCCUGCAGUGCUUUAGAUAUUGUUUUUUAUUUUGUGUCCUGCCGGAUACGCUCUUGGAGUAUAUAUAUAUAUAUUUUAAGAUUUGUUUUGUGGCCCUAGAGUGCUUUAUUUUGUCAUUUUUCAAAAGUGGGCAUACAGGAAACGGGAGGAAGAGAGGGGGAAGACAUGCAGCACAGGCCACCAUGGCUGGGACCCGAAUCAGGGAACAGCUGCAUCGAGGACUGAAGCCUCUAAACAUGGGCCGGGCUGUACCGCUGCGCCAGCUCUUAAAGUCAUUUUGAUAGGCCGGUCACUCCUAGGAAGGUUCACCAUUGCUGCAUGUUCCUUCGACUUAUCAUAACUCUCACUGUGGUUCAUUGGAGACCCAAAUCUUUAGAAAUAGGUUUGCAACCCUUUACAGACAGAUAGAUGUGAAUGACUUUGUUUCUAACCUGUUUUUGGAUUAUUUCAUAUAAAGGCAUGUGUUGCUUUCUACAAUAGCAGUCAUCUGUCACAUUUUUUAAAGUUAAUUACAGUUGACCUGAUGGUUAGACAUGAGGUGGGAAUCACAUUUUCAUAGUUUUUGUACUUUAAUCAAUGAAAUCAUAAUAUGAAAACUGCUUUUUGUAUUUACUCAGGUUAUCUUUGUUAAAUCUUAAGCUUUGUUCGAUGAUCUGACCAUGUCAAUGUUAAUACUUUUCACAGCAAAUAAUUUUCUAAAUGCAAAUGGUCACUUGUCUGUGUCCUCUAAGUUUAGGCAUAAAGCCUAAUUAUGGAAUCUGCUUAGACAGAUUUUGUAGCUGCAACAGACUUCUUUAUGUACAGGAUGUUUCUUAUCAAUUCCUGAACAGAAAUGUCCACGCUGCUGCAUAAAUGUACGUCCAUCAACACGUGU
This is a long non-coding RNA of Girardinichthys multiradiatus, 1202 nucleotides long. RefSeq lists it as uncharacterized. Lineage: Eukaryota; Metazoa; Chordata; Actinopteri; Cyprinodontiformes; Goodeidae. The transcript has 3 exons. The record is from RefSeq and is a predicted model, not a curated record.